This 776-nucleotide ribosomal RNA is filed under the name uncultured bacterium. Its description in RNAcentral is "bacterial SSU rRNA". It matches the Rfam family "Bacterial small subunit ribosomal RNA", at positions 725 to 1504 of the family's 1533-position model. The record is from RNAcentral.
CUGACUGGCUCGAUACUGACACUGAGGUGCGAAAGCGUGGGAGCAAACGGGAUUAGAUACCCCGGUAGUCACGCCGUAAACGAUGUCUACUAGCCGUUGGAGGACUUGAUCCUUUAGUGGCGCAGCUAACGCGAUAAGUAGACCGCCUGGGGAGUACGGUCGCAAGAUUAAAACUCAAAUGAAUUGACGGGGGCCCGCACAAGCGGUGGAGCAUGUGGUUUAAUUCGAAGCAACGCGAAGAACCUUACCUACUCUUGACAUCCAGUGAACUUUUGAGAGAUCAAUUGGUGCCUUCGGGAACACUGAGACAGGUGCUGCAUGGCUGUCGUCAGCUCGUGUUGUGAAAUGUUGGGUUAAGUCCCGUAACGAGCGCAACCCUUGUCCUUAGUUACCAUCAUUAAGUUGGGGACUCUAAGGAGACUGCCGGUGACAAACCGGAGGAAGGCGGGGACGACGUCAAGUCAUCAUGGCCCUUACGAGUAGGGCUACACACGUGCUACAAUGGCAUGUACAAAGGGUUGCCAAGCCGCGAGGUGGAGCUAAUCCCAUAAAGCAUGUCGUAGUCCGGAUUGGAGUCUGCAACUCGACUCCAUGAAGUCGGAAUCGCUAGUAAUCGUGAAUCAGAAUGUCACGGUGAAUACGUUCCCGGGCCUUGUACACACCGCCCGUCACACCAUGGGAGUGGGUUGCUCCAGAAGUAGAUAGCCUAACCUUCGGGAGGGCGUUUACCACGGAGUGAUUCAUGACUGGGGUGAAGUCGUAACAAGGUAACCGUA